Molecule: ribosomal RNA, 77 nt
Filed under: Daphnia pulex (common water flea)
Lineage: Eukaryota; Metazoa; Arthropoda; Branchiopoda; Diplostraca; Daphniidae
Source: RNAcentral
GUCAACGGCCAUAUCACGUAGAACGCACCUGGUCUCGUCAGCUCCCAGAAGUUAAGUUACGUCGAGUCCCGUUAGUA